This 652-nucleotide ribosomal RNA is filed under the name Martensiomyces pterosporus. RNAcentral describes it as "eukaryotic LSU rRNA". It matches the Rfam family "Eukaryotic large subunit ribosomal RNA", at positions 66 to 606 of the family's 3401-position model. Lineage: Eukaryota; Fungi; Kickxellomycota; Kickxellomycetes; Kickxellales; Kickxellaceae. The record is from RNAcentral.
UAACAAGGAUUCCCCUAGUAACGGCGAGUGAAGCGGGAAGAGCUCAAGACGAAAAUCCCCUUUCGGGGGGAGUUGUGGUCUAUGGAUGUUUUACUGUGUUCCGGCUGCAGAUCAAGUCCCUUGGAAUAGGGCGCCAGAGAGGGUGAAAGCCCCGUCCCCUUGCAGCACUGGUCACUAUAUGUAAGGCACUCCGCGAGUCGGGUUGUUUGGGAAUGCAGCCCUAAUGGGGAGGUACGCACCUUCCAAAGCUAAAUAUUCAGGCAAGAGACCGAUAGCGAACAAGUACCGUGAGGGAAAGUUGAAAAGCACUCUGGAGAGAGAGUGAAAAGUACGUGAAACCAUGGGUAGGGAACCGCUUGCACGGAACACUGAGUUGCCUGCUUUCGAGCCAGGUUGACCGCCCAGCACCAGUUCGACACGCCGGAAAAAGCCUACACGAAGGUAGCGACACCUCCUAGAGGAGUCGUGUUAUAGCGUGUGGGCAUAUACGGUGUGGGUGGACUGAGGACAGCGGCACCUCAUUUUAUGAGCGCUGGCAUAUCAUGGGCCUUUCCGGACAGACUGUAGAGACAGCAUGCUGACUAUACGGGACUAGCUGGGAGCCACCUAUGGGUGUACAGUGAAGUUGCCAAGGGUAGCUGGGAAGUGCUGA